Molecule: ribosomal RNA, 434 nt
Filed under: uncultured bacterium
Lineage: Bacteria
Description: partial 16S ribosomal RNA
Rfam family: Bacterial small subunit ribosomal RNA
Source: RNAcentral
AGCGAACGCUGGCGGCAGGCCAAACACAUGCAAGUCGAACGAACCUUUCGGGGUUAGUGGCGGACGGGUGAGUAACACGUGGGAACGUGCCUUUAGGUUCGGAAUAACUCAGGGAAACUUGUGCUAAUACCGAAUGUGCCCUUCGGGGGAAAGAUUUAUCGCCUUUAGAGCGGCCCGCGUCUGAUUAGCUAGUUGGUUGAGGUAAUGGCUCACCAAGGCGACGAUCAGUAGCUGGUCUGAGAGGAUGAUCAGCCACAUUGGGACUGAGACACGGCCCAAACUCCUACGGGAGGCAGCAGUGGGGAAUCUUGCGCAAUGGGCGAAAGCCUGACGCAGCCAUGCCGCGUGAAUGAUGAAGGUCUUAGGAUUGUAAAAUUCUUUCACCGGGGACGAUAAUGACGGUACCCGGAGAAGAAGCCCCGGCUAACUUCGUG